Molecule: ribosomal RNA, 459 nt
Filed under: uncultured bacterium
Lineage: Bacteria
Description: SSU rRNA
Rfam family: Bacterial small subunit ribosomal RNA
Source: RNAcentral
AGAAUCAACGCUGGCGGCGUGCCUAACACAUGCAAGUCGCACGAGAAAGGGGAGCAAUCCCUGAGUACAGUGGCGCACGGGUGAGUAACACGUGAAUGAUCUACCUCCGAGUGGGGAAUAACUGAGAGAAAUCUUAGCUAAUACCGCAUAAUACCCACGGGUCAAAGCAGUAAUGCGCUUGGAGAGGAGUUCGCGGCAGAUUAGUUAGUUGGCGGGGUAAUGGCCCACCAAGACGAUGAUCUGUAUCCGGCCUGAGAGGGCGCACGGACACACUGGAACUGAAACACGGUCCAGACUCCUACGGGAGGCAGCAGUGGGGAAUUUUGCGCAAUGGGGGAAACCCUGACGCAGCAACGCCGCGUGGAGGAUGAAGCCCCUUGGGGUGUAAACUCCUUUCGAUCGGGAAGAUAAUGACGGUACCGAUAUAAGAAGCCCGGCUAACUUCGUGCCAGCAGCCGC